CGGUGAAUACGUUCCCGGACCUUGUACACACCGCCCGUCAAGCCAUGGGAGCCGGGUGUACCUGAAGCCGAUAACCGUAAGGAGUCGUCCAAGGUAAAACUGGUGACUGGGGCU
This 114-nucleotide ribosomal RNA is filed under the name uncultured bacterium. RNAcentral's name for it is "partial 16S ribosomal RNA". It matches the Rfam family "Bacterial small subunit ribosomal RNA", at positions 1360 to 1482 of the family's 1533-position model. The record is from RNAcentral.